CCUACGGGAGGCAGCAGUGAGGAAUAUUGGUCAAUGGUCGGGAGACUGAACCAGCCAAGCCGCGUGAGGGAUGAAGGUACAGAGUAUCGUAAACCUCUUUUGUCAGGGAACAAAGGCGGGGACGCGUCCCCGGAUGAGUGUACCUGAAGAAAAAGCAUCGGCUAACUCCGUGCCAGCAGCCGCGGUAAUACGGAGGAUGCGAGCGUUAUCCGGAUUUAUUGGGUUUAAAGGGUGCGCAGGCGGUCUGUUAAGUCAGCGGUCAAAGCCCGGGGCUCAACUUCGGAAUUGCCUCUGAUACUGUUCGGCUAGAGAGUAGUUGCGGUAGGCGGAAUGUAUGGUGUAGCGGUGAAAUGCUUAGAGAUCAUACAGAACACCGAUUGCGAAGGCAGCUUACCAAGCUACUUCUGACGUUGAGGCACGAAAGCGUGGGGAGCAAACAGGAUUAGAUACCCUGGUAGUC
Molecule: ribosomal RNA, 460 nt
Filed under: uncultured bacterium
Lineage: Bacteria
Description: partial 16S ribosomal RNA
Rfam family: Bacterial small subunit ribosomal RNA
Source: RNAcentral